Molecule: small nuclear RNA, 20 nt
Filed under: Arabidopsis thaliana (thale cress)
Lineage: Eukaryota; Viridiplantae; Streptophyta; Magnoliopsida; Brassicales; Brassicaceae
Description: snRNA_18172
Source: RNAcentral
AGCGAUCAAGUUUGUGGGAA